Long non-coding RNA from Boleophthalmus pectinirostris (great blue-spotted mudskipper), 1234 nucleotides. RefSeq lists it as uncharacterized. Lineage: Eukaryota; Metazoa; Chordata; Actinopteri; Gobiiformes; Gobiidae. The record is from RefSeq and is a predicted model, not a curated record. The transcript is spliced from 3 exons.
UUUAGCCUAUUGCAAGCAUUGUCUGGCUUAAAAAUGGUAAUAUAAAGACUAUAGGACAGUAAGAGUCAAUGAAUGAAAAGUAGCCUAAUUAGCAAGGUUAUCUACAUCCAACAGCUGUUAAAACGGCAGCCCAAGUCUUUCUGCAGAGGGGGUGCACACAGCCAAGGCAAAACAAGAGCAACAUACCAUGUGGUGGCAGCUUAAAGGAAGGACACGUGCACUGCAAGUCAGCCUUCCUGUUCUGCUAGAGAAAUUGGACUUUGAUUGUCAAAGAGGCUAAGCAAGUCACUUCCCUCUUCUGCAGGAGGGCCAUAAUAGAUAUCCUGUCACAACACCAAAAAGCCUUUGUUUGCAAUUGGCCCACAUGUCAAGAAUACUUUUAAUCUCGUUACUCGAUACUCACGACUUACCAUUUGAAAUCUAAUGCUGCUCUCCAAUUCACCUCUGAUGGAAAUCUACUGUGAAAUGGCUAGAGUUUGGGUUCAAGUGUAAUUUGAAGACUGGGAUGAAAGGAUACAAGCUGUUUGUAGUCUGCCCAUGUUUACGACUGUUCAGAAAUACGACAAAAGAAGGCCAAAAUGUACACCUGCCCCCCAGGACUUGCUUUCUUCUCCACAGGUUGUCCCUCUUAAAGUUUAAAGGUGACCUCGCUGUGUAACUGUAUGCCUUUGAGAGCCAGCCACCUGGAUCUAAUGAUGUUGUCUGCCUGGUACAGUAGUGGUGUUUUGGCGACGUGGCAGUUCUAUGAGGAGAAGGAGCUGCCUUGCAAUUAUCAAGAAGUACUGUUAGUUGCUGUACUGCAAAAAUGACUAAAGUAGGGGGAAAGUCGUCAUGUAAAUUAUCACUUUUGAUUUACUGAGACAGUCAGGACCACACAAGGCAAAGCCAAUAGCAGGAUAGAUAGGUACAACAAGUUACAAGCUAUAUAAAAACAUUUCAACCAAAAUGUAGCCAAUACAAAAAAAUGCAACUGGUUUUGCUGAUUUAAUGGUCUUAAACAAAGUACAUUUUUGCUCUAACACAGAACUGAUCUAUUAAUUUUAAAAUAAAAUACAAUAUUUAAUCUUCACUGAUUAAUUAAAGAAGCCAGUGGAGUACUGCAUUAUUUUAUAAAGUAUAUCAAUGUGAUAUUCAAUAGCUGAGAUUUACAAGUAAGAAUUGCAAAAGUUUUGUGUAAUUAAGUCACUUUUUUUAAUUGGGGGAUUUUUGUCUAUACUAAAUCUGUUAACCUCCU